This 252-nucleotide ribosomal RNA is filed under the name uncultured bacterium. Its description in RNAcentral is "partial 16S ribosomal RNA". It matches the Rfam family "Bacterial small subunit ribosomal RNA", at positions 524 to 776 of the family's 1533-position model. The record is from RNAcentral.
UACGUAGGUCCCGAGCGUUGUCCGGAUUUAUUGGGUUUAAAGGGUGCGUAGGCGGGCUUUUAAGUCAGCGGUAAAAAUUCGGGGCUCAACCCCGUCCGGCCGUUGAAACUGGGGGUCUUGAGUGGGCGAGAAGAAGGCGGAAUGCGUGGUGUAGCGGUGAGAUGCUUAGAGAUCAUACAGAACACCGAUUGCGAAGGCAGCUUACCAAACUAUAUCUGACGUUGAGGCACGAAAGCGUGGGUAGCAAACAGG